CUGGCGGUAGCCUACCAUGCAAGUCGAACGGCAGCACAGGAGAGCUUGCUCUCUGGGUGGCGAGUGGCGGACGGGUGAGGAAUACAUCGGAAUCUACUCUGUCGUGGGAGGAUAACGUAGGGAAACUCUACGCUAAUACCGCAUACGACCUACGGGUGAAAGCAGGGGAUCUUCGGACCUUGCGCGAUUGAAUGAGCCGAUGUCGGAUUAGCUAGUUGGCGGGGUAAAGGCCCACCAAGGCGACGAUCCGUAGCUGGUCUGAGAGGAUGAUCAGCCACACUGGAACUGAGACACGGUCCAGACUCCUACGGGAGGCAGCAGUGGGGAAUAUUGGACAAUGGGCGCAAGCCUGAUCCAGCCAUACCGCGUGGGUGAAGAAGGCCUUCGGGUUGUAAAGCCCUUUUGUUGGGAAAGAAAUCCAGCCGGCUAAUACCUGGUUGGGAUGACGGUACCCAAAGAAUAAGCACCGGCUAACUUCGUGCCAGCAGCCGCGGUAAUACGAAGGGUGCAAGCGUUACUCGGAAUUACUGGGCGUAAAGCGUGCGUAGGUGGUUAUUUAAGUCCGUUGUGAAAGCCCUGGGCUCAACCUGGGAACUGCAGUGGAUACUGGAUGACUAGAGUGUGGUAGAGGGUAGCGGAAUUCCUGGUGUANCAGUGAAAUGCGUAGAGAUCAGGAGGAACAUCCAU
Molecule: ribosomal RNA, 687 nt
Filed under: Pseudomonas sp. ICBR 056
Lineage: Bacteria; Pseudomonadati; Pseudomonadota; Gammaproteobacteria; Pseudomonadales; Pseudomonadaceae
Description: bacterial SSU rRNA
Rfam family: Bacterial small subunit ribosomal RNA
Source: RNAcentral